Molecule: ribosomal RNA, 413 nt
Filed under: uncultured bacterium
Lineage: Bacteria
Description: bacterial SSU rRNA
Rfam family: Bacterial small subunit ribosomal RNA
Source: RNAcentral
AAUCAACGCUGGCGGCGUGCCUAACACAUGCAAGUCGCACGAGAAAGGGGAGCAAUCCCUGAGUACAGUGGCGCACGGGUGAGUAACACGUGAAUUAUCUACCUCCGAGUGGGGAAUAACUGAGAGAAAUCUUAGCUAAUACCGCAUAACACUUACGAGUCAAAGCAGCAAUGCGCUUGGAGAGGAGUUCGCGGCAGAUUAGUUAGUUGGCGGGGUAANGGCCCACCAAGACGAUGAUCUGUAUCCGGCCUGAGAGGGCGCACGGACACACUGGAACUGAAACACGGUCCAGACUCCUACGGGAGGCAGCAGUGGGGAAUUUUGCGCAAUGGGGGAAACCCUGACGCAGCAACGCCGCGUGGAGGAUGAAAUAUCUUGGUAUGUAAACUCCUUUCGAUGGGGAAGAUUAUGAC